AUUUUAUCUGGGAUGUAAUCUGUGAUGUAUGUUGCACGUCGAUGGUUGAUCGGUGUAUGCCUCCUACAAGCAAGCCUUGCGCAGAUUGAGAUCAUAGGUUGAUUGAAGAUGGAUCAAGGAGUUGAUUACAAUUGAACCUAAGGGAUCAAGAUCGAGUCAAGAGUUGAAGACGAUCAAACCAAUUGACGUGCAUGUGCUUGUACUAUGACCCAUCCUGGAUCCAUGAUCAUCACCAGUUACAUUUACUACUUUUUAUAUAUAUGCCUGGAUGUUUAAUAUUUAUGCCUAUGCAUAGUGGGUAGAUGGAUGUGUGCAUGAGAUGCGAGUUGCCAAUCGAAAGAGACCUAAACUAAAACCUCCUCAAUCAAGUCGAGAGUGAACCAACAUGAGCGGGUCAUAUUAGAUUAAUUGAUCUAAUUGGUGUCU
RNAcentral lists this long non-coding RNA (426 nucleotides) under Phoenix dactylifera (date palm). RNAcentral describes it as "long non-coding RNA (PDAC_LNC012443)". Lineage: Eukaryota; Viridiplantae; Streptophyta; Magnoliopsida; Arecales; Arecaceae. The record is from RNAcentral.